This 2259-nucleotide long non-coding RNA is filed under the name Canis lupus familiaris (dog). Its description in RNAcentral is "lncRNA (ENSCAFG00845026146.1)". The record is from RNAcentral. Lineage: Eukaryota; Metazoa; Chordata; Mammalia; Carnivora; Canidae.
AUACAUGCUCUAAUACCAUACCCCAAUAAAAGGUUUCUGAUACCAUACCCCAAUAAAAGGACAAUACCAUACCUGUUGGAGAAAUAUCUGAUUCUAGGACUGGGACAGGAAAUAUAUGGCUUCUUGUAGUUCCAGAAAGGAAAUGAUUUUUAAAAAAUCCACCACAAAAAAAAUGUACAAUCAUAAGGGGGGUAUGUCAGAGGAACACAGCAGCCACUAACAGAGCUCCCAGUGGCCAAACCUGAUACAAUGUGAGCAGUAAAGUAGUAUGGAUUAUAACUCAAAGUACAAAAUAAGUAUCAAUAAGUCUAUAGUUAUAUAAACAAAUGAUUAAAUAAAAUUUGAAAUUAUAGAAAAAGGCAUGUCUCCUGUACAGAAUAAUUCUGUACAUAGUCCUCUCUUGAGUGUAUAACUAACUCCCCAUCCUUUAACUGUGCUCUGUGCUUAGUAACCUCUUUCCAAUGGAAAGAAGGAAAAGAGUAACUUUACAGUGGAGAAAUUUGGCAAACACUACCUUAGGUGAUCAAGUUCAACAUCAACAAUGAUACGUCAUGUUGAUAGUAUGAGUAGUAAGAAUGGCACUUACUCUCAAAACUCCACAACCCCACUCUCCCCAUGAGAAAACAUUAGCAAUACUCAGCUGAGGUAUAUUUGACAAAACACUUGACUUGUACUUCUUGAAACUGUCAAAGUUAUCAAAAACAAAUUCUGAGAAGCUGUCACAGAUAAGACAAGCCUAAGAAGAUGUGAUGACUAAAAGUAAUGUGGGAUCCUGGAUGGGAUCCUGGAAAAAGAAAGGGAUAUUAGGUAAAAACUAAGGAAAGCUGAAUAAAGCAUGGACUUUAAUAUACUAUACUAAUUAAUAUAUUAAUAGGAGAAACUAUGUGGGAUAUAGAGGAAAUCUUUAUACUAUGUUUGCAAAUUUUAUGUAAAUCAAAAACUAUUCUAAAAAAUAGUUAAAAAAAAAGAUGUGCGAACAGAAUUGGAAUAGACUAGGUAGUAUGUACCUUAAUACCUAUUGUAGACAUAGCAGGACAAGUUUAUAGUGAAAAACAAGAUGGAUUUAACAUUUUGGUAGAGAGUAAAAUGGGACAAAUAGUAGGGAUAUAUUUUCUCAAGUAUUUUAUUCCUUUAUAAAAAUUCCACUUUGAGGGCAGCCCGGAUGGCUCAGUGGUUUAGCGCCGCCUUCAGCCUGGGGUGUGAUCCUGGAGACCCGGGAUCAGGUCCCACAUCGGGCUCCCUGCAUGGAGCCUGCUUCUCCUUCUGCCUGUGUCUCUGCCUCUCUCUCUCUUUCUGUGUUUCUCUCAUGCAUGAAUAAAUGAAAUAUAUUUUUUUAAAAUUCUACUUUGAGCACAGCCAUAUUGUGGGAGGGAAGAGCUGAAGUAGGUGCUCUUGGCUCCCCGCUGCAUGCCUCAGUCUGUGAAGGAACUCACCGCCCAGCCACCAUCAUGCCUGGGCACUCACAGGAAGACUUCAGCUGCAUGGUCACCAACCGAUGUGACCAGUUAUUUGAUGACAAAUCAGACCCCUUUGAGUUGUUGAAGUCAGCAGAGAACAAGAAAAAAAGCUGGCGGAGCCGGCAUUGGGGUCCCUGGGGCCAAGAGCACAGUUCAGGCUGCAGUCCAGACCAACUCCAAUGUAGCAGGCAAACAGCUGCAUAAAGAGUCCCAAGAACCAGGUGACCCCUCAUGUUGGGGUGGUGUGCAAGAAAGAGGAGACGUAGCUGCCAAUGUCACUUAAGAAUAAGAUGUGUUGGAAGAAAACCAACCAUUGAAGAUGAGUUAAUAGAGUCUCCAAAAUACAUUCAGAAACAAAUAUAACUUCAGUGACUUGGAUCAAUCAAAUGUGACUGAGGAAACACCUGAAGGUGAAGAACAUCCAGUUGCAGACACUGAAUAUAAGGGGAAUGAAUUUGAAGAAGUAAAGAAAGAGGGACCAGAAGAAAUGACUUUGGAUGAGUGGAAAGCUAUUCAAAAUUAAGGACCGGGAAAAAGUAGGAUUUAAUAUAUGUUCUCAUUCAUUUGGGGAAUAUAAAAAAUAGUGAAAGGGAAUAGAAGGGAAGGGAGAAGAAAUGGGUGGAAAUAUCAGAAAGGGAGACAGAACAUAAAGACUCCUAACUCUGGGAAAUGAACUAGGGGUGGUGGAAGGGGAGGAGGGCGGGGGAUGGGGGUGAAUGGGAGACGGGCACUGAGGGGGGCACUUGACGGGAUGAGCACUGGGUAUUAUUCUGUAUGUUGGCAAAUUGAACACCAAUAAAAA